RNAcentral lists this ribosomal RNA (712 nucleotides) under Heterosigma akashiwo. RNAcentral describes it as "partial Bacterial large subunit ribosomal RNA". It matches the Rfam family "Bacterial large subunit ribosomal RNA", at positions 741 to 1446 of the family's 2925-position model. Lineage: Eukaryota; Raphidophyceae; Chattonellales; Chattonellaceae. The record is from RNAcentral.
CAGGUUGAAGGUUGGGGAACACUAACUGGAGGACCGAACCCACUGUCGUUGAAAAGCCAGGGGAUGACUUGUGGAUAGGGGUGAAAGGCUAAUCAAACUCGGUGAUAGCUGGUUCUCCCCGAAAGCUAUUUAGGUAGCGCCUCGGACGAACACCAUUGGGGGUAGAGCACUGUUUCGGCUAGGGGGUCAUCCCGACUUACCAAACCGAUGCAAACUCCGAAUACCUACAAGUGCCGAGCAUGGGAGACACACGGCGGGUGCUAACGUCCGUCGUGAAAAGGGAAACAACCCAGACCGUCAGCUAAGGUCCCAAAGUCAUGGUUAAGUGGGAAACGAUGUGGGAAGGCUUAGACAGCUAGGAGGUUGGCUUAGAAGCAGCCAUCCUUUAAAGAAAGCGUAACAGCUCACUGGUCUAAAUAAGGGUUCCUGCGGCGAAAAUGUAACGGGGCUAAAGAUAUGCACCGAAGCUUAGGGUUGCAGUUUACUGCAGCGGUAGCGGAGCGUUCCGUAGGCGAGUGAAGGCGAAGGGUAACCGACGCUGGACGUAUCGGAAGUGCGAAUGCUGACAUGAGUAGCGACAAACAGGGUGAGAUACCCUGUCGCCGAAAGACCAAGGGUUCCUACGCAAUGCUAAUCAGCGUAGGGUGAGCCGGCCCCUAAGACGAGCCCGAAGGGGGUAGUCGAUGGGAACCACGUUAAUAUUCGUGGGCCU